CCCCUCUAGUUCCUCUUCAGCACAGUUCAACAGGCAGAGGCAGGCAAGGGAGGCAGCAAAGAUGAUUUCUGGUAAAGGUUCUUGGAAUGGAAAACUGGAAAUUACUUAAGAGAAUUCAUCCACUCUCUAACAAAUAGCUUGGGAGAGCAAAAAGAACAUGGGCUCUGAGUUCAAGUUCAGUUCCCAAAUUCUGCAAUCUUGGCAAAAAAAAAAAAAUGCUCUCUAAGACUCCUCAGUUUUUAAGUUUCCUCAUCUUAAAAUGAGAAUAUGUACCUCCCUCAUAGGGUUAAGCACGAGAAUGAAAACUCCAUUAGGGCAGGGACUUCAUUUUGGGCCAAUUGUCUCUACACUAAACAGCAUUAAACUCUAUUAAACAGUGCCUAGUACAGCAUAGGUUCUCAAUGUUUAUUGGCUGAAUUUGUGAGAAAUUGACUGAGGUAAUACAGAAUGCCUGCACGUGAACACUUAACUCUAUCAUCACCACCAUCAUCACUACUAUUACCAGUAUAUCACUAUUAUUGCAUUACUGGUGGUUGUAGAGCGGUCGCCUUAAGGGAAAGACCCAGAUUCAAAUCUCAAAUUCUCCAUUUACUGGCUAUGUGACUUGGAACAAAUUGCUUAACCCAUUAGGGCUCCUUUGGUUCUACAAACAUCUAUAUGGAAACCACCUACGCAACACUGAGUCUGGAGCCCAGGCGGCAUGCGAUACAUGACAGAGAUUCUUAUUUAGACAAAAAAUCGCCGAGUCCCCUUUUAUCUAGAUAACAUUCCUACAAUUUCCCACAUUAAUGUAGCUGAAUAGAUAACAUAACCGCAAACGGGAGGAAGGAAAGAAUUUCAGAGAGACCAAAACCGCUAAACGAGAAAAGAGGGAAUUAAACCGGUGCUUGACAGUUCCCACCAAAGGAUGCUAGUUUCCGCGACUGUCAACCAGUCCGACCAGCCAAGGCUCCAGCAGGACAGUCAGCUCCGUAAGGAACAAAAAGGAGGCAGAACCGUCGCUUAGACCCUCCCCCUAACGGUCUCUCGGCCGCUGGCCUCAGGGGCCGCCGGACUCCCGUUUCCGGCCCUCGCAGGACCACAGUUCCCAGCAUGCCUUUGAAGGGAAGUCUUUCCCUCUGGAUGACUACUAAUCCCGGCAUGCCAUUCGACACUCCAGUAAAUUGGAUGGAAUAGUGGAAUGACCCCAUUGCACGCAGGGAAUUGUAGUCCAUUUAGCUGCUGUCUCUUAGCGGGGCGGGGAAGAGCCGGGUCGUUCUCGUCAGCUGAGAAGAAUGAUUCAUCGAGGAGAGUCAGGAGAGAACAGUUGUGUCUGUGAAAGCCCACUUAAAAGCCUGGACUCUUCUCCAAGGGAGGGAGAGGCUGGAGAGCAAGCAGGUCCUUGGGCCUGACCCCGCCUCAAGCUGCUCCGCAGGCCUCUAUCGAGUCCUGGGCCUUGUCGAGGGCGGCCGCGAGGCGCCGGUUGCUGGGGGACCGGUGACGUCGCGGGGUGAAAGUUGAGGGGCGGUGACGUCGGGCCUGCCCGGGCGGAGGCUGGCGGGUUGGAGGCAGAAGGGAGGGAGGGAAGGAGGGAAGGAAGGAAGCUGGGAAGGAGCGAGCGAGCGAGCGGGGGCGCGAGGCGUUUACCUGGAGGCAGCGGCUUGGGCGCGCAGAGCGGCCGCGGCUCCCCCGCACCUGCGGCCAUGGAUGAGGAGCGCGCCCUCUACAUCGUCCGGGCCGGCGAGGCGGGGGCUAUCGAACGGGUCCUGAGGGAUUACAGCGAUAAGCAUAGGGCUACUUUCAAAUUUGAACCAACAGAUGAAGAUAAAAGAAAGAAACUCUGUGAAGGCAUAUUUAAAGUCCUCGUAAGGGACAUCCCAACAACAUGUCAAGUGUCCUGCCUGGAAGUUCUCCGCAUUCUCUCCAGAGACAAAAAGAUUUUAGUUCCUGUAACAACCAAGGAAAAUAUGCAGAUACUGCUGCGACUAGCCAAGCUAAAUGAGUCGGAUGAUUCUUUGGAGAAGGUGUCCGAGUUCCCAGUUAUUGUGGAGUCAUUAAAAUGUCUGUGUAACAUAGUGUUCAACAGUCAGAUGGCACAGCAGCUCAGCCUGGAACUUAACCUUGCUGCGAAGCUCUGUAACCUCCUAAGAAAGUGCAAGGACCGAAAGUUUAUCAAUGACAUUAAGUGCUUUGACUUGCGCUUGCUCUUCCUCCUGUCACUUUUGCACACCGACAUCAGGUCACAAUUGCGCUACGAGCUCCAGGGCCUACCGCUGCUAACCCAGAUCUUGGAAAGUGCCUUUAGCAUCAAGUGGACCGAUGAGUAUGAAUCGGCCGUAGACCAUAAUGGACCUCCUCUCUCACCUCAGGAGACGGACUGUGCCAUCGAGGCCCUCAAAGCUCUCUUCAAUGUGACAGUAGACAGUUGGAAGGUGCAUAAAGAGAGUGAUUCUCAUCAGUUCCGCGUCAUGGCAGCUGUGCUUCGCCAUUGUUUACUAAUCGUAGGUCCAACUGAAGACAAAACGGAAGAGCUGCACAGUAAUGCAGUCAACCUUUUAAGCAAUGUUCCGGUCUCUUGUUUGGAUGUUCUCAUUUGUCCAUUAACCCAUGAAGAAACAGCCCAAGAGGCAACGACUCUAGAUGAACUACCCAGUGAUAAAACAGCUGAGAAAGAAACAGUUUUGAAAAACAAUACCAUGGUAUACAAUGGUAUGAAUAUGGAAGCCAUUCAUGUUUUACUCAGUUUUAUGGAGAAGAGAAUAGACAAGGGAAGCAGCUAUAGAGAGGGUCUAACUCCAGUUCUCAGCUUAUUAACAGAAUGUUCCCGAGCCCAUCGAAACAUCAGAAAAUUUCUCAAAGAUCAGGUUUUACCACCUUUGAGGGAUGUGACAAAUCGACCUGAAGUUGGCUCAACUGUGAGAAAUAAGCUGGUGCGCCUCAUGACACAUGUUGACCUUGGAGUCAAGCAAAUUGCUGCUGAAUUCCUUUUUGUCCUUUGCAAAGAGAGAGUGGACAGCCUGCUGAAAUACACUGGCUAUGGGAACGCUGCAGGACUCUUGGCGGCCAGGGGCCUCUUGGCUGGAGGAAGAGGAGAUAAUUGGUACUCAGAGGACGAGGACACAGACACUGAAGAAUACAAAAAUGCAAAACCAAACAUUAAUCUUAUCACUGGUCAUUUAGAGGAACCAAUGCCAAACCCUAUAGAUGAAAUGACAGAAGAACAAAAAGAAUAUGAAGCCAUGAAACUUGUCAACAUGCUUGAUAAACUUUCCAGGAGAGCAGAUGUGAAGGACCUGCAGCAGGAUGGUGGUUAGCAACAGUGGCCCGUGCCAAAGCACUUACCAAAGUGAUGACUAAGACCCUGUCAUUAAUUCCAUGUGUCAAUACUGCCCUGUAGUACACAGAGCAGACAAGAAAGAAGAGCCCUUGAAAACAAGGGAAUGAUUUUUGAGUCGUUAUCAAGCUAAGUGGCAAGCGAGAAGCUGAAACUCGUAUAGUUGAACAUUCUUGGAGGCUUAUCUCUUCCCUGGCCAGAUGCCUGAUCAGAUGAGAAGCCCGCCAUGAUACUGUCAGAGUGCCUAGAAUGGGCUCUUUAUCCAGUAGACAUCACUGUACUUUUUGAUGAUAACGAGGGCAGUCUUAACUUGUGUUAAGGCCUGUGUGUAGCAUUGAAGAGAGGAGUUGCUUAAACCAAUGGGACUAAAACCUGAUGGGACAAUAACGCCUUUGGAGGAAGCACUCAACCAGUAUUCUGUCAUCGAAGAGACCAGCUCCGACACAGACUGAAAGCGUCACCUGCUCAACUCUCAGUAUUGCUUUUAUCAGCAUCUUUUCUCUGUAGCUCCAGGGGAAUCUUUUCUCUAAAACAUUUAUGCCCUUGCUUUGGCUAGAAACACAUUAACUGGUUUACUCAUUGAGAAAUCCAGCGUAUUUAAGAGGUGAUCCUGUGUUUUUGCGAUAUUGAGGCAUUCAUACAGAGCUGCAGUUAGACGGAGUUGCAGGGGCUAGAAGCAGAAAACAGAUAAUUCCGUGUCAUCAGGCUGCAACUGAAGGACUCCAUUCUAUAAAGCAGCCUCGGUUGAACCUGGCAGAUCUGUUUGCCAAGAUUCUUAGCAGAAGAUUUAGCCGUGUCCUUCUUCUCACUUGUGUGAGCUGCCCCUUCUGGAUCUCUCCAGCGGACGGAGGCACGUGAUCAGCAGAAUGAGCUGCUAACUAAGGGCUGAGACAAGUGACUUGUUAGAUGAGGACUGACUAAGUGGACGCCAAGCAGCUGCUCCAUAAACCUAGCCCCCCUCUUCACUUCAUUUCAAUUUUGUAUAAAUACAUGGAAAUGCACACACGAACCCACACACACAGCCCCAGACUUGCAAACUGAUUACACUCUAAAAGUUUGUAUGUCACUUCUCUAGAACUUCAGAAUACAUUUCUCCCUAUAGAGAGUUACAAACGAUGGUUUAGUUCCGAGGCAGCUACAAAUGCCUAUUUAUUCUCCCACGUACCUGAACACUAGUACCAUGGAACUGAACCCCCAGCUGUGUCAUUGCAUGGGGAGCAUGCAUUCUGAGGUCUCAGGGGGCCAGGAACACGUCCCCCAACCCAGCAGAGGGGACGGGGACUCCUGAGUACUGGGAGUUCUGUGGGCUCUGCUGGGGUGGGAGGUCAGCAGCACCCUUUUGUACAUAUAGGUCAUUCAUACGUCACACGUUUUAAAUUGGGGACUGUGUGUGCUGGUGUGUGUGCAUUCUACCUUUCUACCAGGUGAUCAGUUUAAUGGUAACCUUAUUUAUUUAAAAAAAAAAAAGAAACACAAACAGUUACUGUUAAACUGAUUAAGGCUGUUUAUUUUUACUUUUAAAAUUGGUCAUAUGAAGAAGUAGAAAAUGAAUCAUGCAAUAGACAGUGGGCCUAGUUAAAUCAGUGGCUAAAGUUGAAAAGGGGUUGGUUUCCUUUUAUGUAUGUAUGUAUGUACGUAUGUAUACAUACAUAUAUACACAUAGAUAAUGUGCUUAACCACUGCCUUUUAAAACUUUAAAUUAAAUAAAAUAUUGGGGUUGAUUCAAUUUAGCCAUCUGUGUGUGUUUCUUUAUAGAUACAUGGGAUAAACAAUACUAUUUCACAGUUCAUGCUUUCUUAAAGUGCUUUUACAUCCAUAUCUCACUUAUAAUAGUCUUUAUAAGGUAGGUAAAGUACAUGGAGUGUUAGUAAAAUGUCAUUUAUCCAGAAGUCACUUCUCUGGCAAAACAACAAAUCAGGAAUUGAGUUUUAAAAGGCCUUUGAGCCCCAAAAUGUCACAAAGUUUCUGGCAGUUUACUUAUAGGAGAGAGCCUCAAGAAUCUCACUUUUUGCCUCUUUACUAAAAUUUGCAUACAUUUCUAAUAUGUUUAGUUAUCUGGCUUUCCAGCCCACAGAAAAAUAACAAAGGCGGAAUCGGCUAGAUGGAAGGCAGGCCUACUGAAAGCAGCAAAAAAGGCCAACUGAAAACUGGAUAGGAAGGCAGGGACAGUAAAAAACUGGACGCAUCACAAAUCUGGGACAGUGUUUCCCGAAGGACAUGCUAGUUGACCCACAAAGUAUCUGUCCAACAGUAUGGCCCAUGGACUAAUUCUUCUAAGAAUGACCCUGAGUUGGUUUUUAAACAAAAUAAUAAAUCCCGGCUACUCUGUAAAGCUCGGAAGAAUACAUUUUUGGGUUGUCAUCUGAAAUACUUGGGAAUCGAAGUUCUGAAGGACUCAUGUUUUAACAACAGUAAACAAAAAGAAACUUGGCGAUUCAUAAUUUUAGAUUGAGAAAAGCUUAGGAAAAAAAAUUAAAUAUUUUUGUUACGUCAUUCUACAAAUGCAUUUUUAAAGUAUUUUUAUAAUUUCUAUAAUCAAAUAGCUUUGGCAUGAGAGUCAGCUUCCCUAAAUGAAGACAUAUUUAAUGAAAUAACCGUCUUAUCAGCUUUAUGCAGUCGGUGUUUGAACAGUCCUGUUUACAUAGCUGUGAUCUGCUUUCAUUGAGUUCUGUUUCAUUUUCAGUUUCCCUGCCCUGGGCACUAAGCUUUGUUUUUGAAGAAAGAAUUUGCAGGGGGACACGUUGAGAGUGACCUCAUCUUGCACAUGGAAAGAGAACUAUGGCAUGCUUGCUGCGUGCUGGGCUUUUCAUCCAUGUUAUCUCCUGUCACCUCAUCGCAUCUCAUGUUAGAGAGCACCCCUAGAAAGCCUAAGUAAGUUACCCGAUGUCACAGCAAGUAAGAGCCACCUCCAGCCAGCCUGACUCCAAGCCCCUCUCCCUCCCCUUGACCACCCUGCCCACCUGGGCCCACACUGUGCCUCCUCACGAUUCUGGAAUUCUGGGAGAGUGGUAAUUCUCAGGCCACUUUAAGCAAUAACUGUGUCAGCAGAACCCAGAACUUUGUAAGUUGGGAGGUGACCUAGGGUUGAAGUGUGAGCCAGGAAAUUCGCUUGGUUAGUACUGCAUUUCAAACAAGGAAGGACCCGGAGUCUGAGUCAGACCAGGCUCCCCAGACAUCUGCCUGGCAUGGGGAGGGGCGGUGAUGAGAAUAUACUGGCCAACCUCCCACCUGACCUUUGACACGGUGCAGAGGGGCGUGUCCUAGAAAUAAGGCACUUAAGCCGCUGCUCUACAGUAACAAUCAACAGACACUUGGGGCCCGCUUAUAAACCCAGUGGCCCUGGGAGGCUGGGGACAUCAGAUGCUCUUAUCCGUCCUUUAUAAAUGAGGACACGGGCCAUCAAGGCACAAGCACUAAACAUCCCCCAACCACCGCAUCAGUCUUCCCACCUCCCAGGACUAGGUGUCACCUGUAUUGACUUCCUCCCUCCACCCCAGAUUGUAAAAGUAAUAUAUGUGCAUUGUGGAAAAUUUGGAAAACGCAGAAAAUAAAAAUAAUUCACCCCAAAUCCCAAUGUUCUGAGAUAAUCACUGUUAAUGUCUUAGUGUAUUUCUGUCCUGUUUUUUCUAUGCAUAUAUAAUUUAUUUUACUACAAGAUCAGGAUCAUGCUGUAUUUAUAGAUUGUAUCCUGCUUUCUUCUCUAACAUAAUUGUGAGCAUUUUCCCAUGUCAAUAAAUAUUCUUCAAAAA
This is an RNA transcript of Rhinolophus ferrumequinum (greater horseshoe bat), 7062 nucleotides long. It is a transcript of the gene named RIC8 guanine nucleotide exchange factor B, with no coding region annotated. The transcript has 13 exons. The record is from RefSeq and is a predicted model, not a curated record. Lineage: Eukaryota; Metazoa; Chordata; Mammalia; Chiroptera; Rhinolophidae.